GGGGGCAGGGGAACAGAACAACUCAACACAGAGGCAUGAAGGGAAGCCUUAAACAUGUGCUCCACAGAUUUUGAUGUAAAAUGUAUCUUUUUUUUGUAGUCAGAAGAUAGCAUAGUGGCUAGAAUCCAGUUCAAGUUGGUUCAACAAUUUGUAUCCAGUUCAAGUUGGUUCAACAGUUUGUAUGGAAGUGAACACAUGUGUCUUGGAAAGAUUUUAAGACAAGAAAAAGUGGCUUGUUUCUGUUAACGUUUCUUCACAUGGGAAGCUUACAUACCACUUUCCUAUGCUACAUAUCUGCUAUGUAACUGAGAGUAUAGGUGCUGUAUUUAGCCUUAUAGUUCUUACUGAGUCGUGUCUCUUUCUAUCCAACCAUCAUUUAAUGAUGCAGGUCCGUACUUUGACAAUUUUUUAUUACAUUUGAUAAAAUUAACCAAAUGUACUGUUGCUUUGGUAUUGUCCCAAGACAAUGUAUUUUCUGUCAGACAUGUUGAUUUUUAAUGAUAUACAGCAAGAACAUCUGAAAGUAGUGCACUAUUAAUGUAUCAAAGGAAACAAUGGGAACUAUGGAAACUAUGUUGAAAACAACUAUUUCUUGAUAUUACAUGUGUCUUCUGUCAUCAUCCCAGAUUCAGUAAAAAUGAGGAUACAGACUAUGUGAUAUUAGAAAAUUUAAUAUAACUAUUAUAUGGCAUUACAGUAUGACCUGUAAAUUUCCUUCUAUUCGUUUGUUACACAUUUUAUUCAUUCCAUUGAUGGCGUGUCAAGUGGCAGGCUUUUUUCUUGUUUGUUGGAGAGAAUGAAUACAUUUAUUCUCAGAUUUA
Long non-coding RNA from Branchiostoma floridae (Florida lancelet), 821 nucleotides. RefSeq lists it as uncharacterized. Lineage: Eukaryota; Metazoa; Chordata; Leptocardii; Amphioxiformes; Branchiostomatidae. The transcript is spliced from 2 exons. The record is from RefSeq and is a predicted model, not a curated record.